This 370-nucleotide transfer-messenger RNA is filed under the name Bacteroidales bacterium. It matches the Rfam family "transfer-messenger RNA". Rfam says of the family: Bacterial tmRNA, also known as 10Sa RNA or SsrA, is named for its dual tRNA and mRNA-like properties. Its role is to liberate the mRNA from a stalled ribosome. To accomplish this part of the tmRNA is used as a reading frame that ends in a translation stop signal. Lineage: Bacteria; Pseudomonadati; Bacteroidota; Bacteroidia; Bacteroidales. The record is from RNAcentral.
GGGGUUGUUUGGUUUUGACAGCUCGUAUGUGAUUAUGUAAGCACGUCGGACGUUGUAAGCAGGUUCCGUAAAAGCCAACUUUCAUGCCAGAAUAAAUGGCGAAAAUAAUAAUUUUGCUCUCGCGGCUUAGUCAGACUAAGAAGCAGGCUGUUUCCCCGAAAGCCUUUCUCUACGGCGUUCGGUACGAAGCAUCGUAAAGGUAGAGAUAGUUUUUAUAAUCCUCGGUAUAAAAACGAAUUUAAAGAGGAUAAGUUUUUGUCUGGCUUAGCCUUUUGCCGUACAAAAAUCGAAAACUAAACAAAGGAUAAGCGUGUAGAAAGCAUCUUUGCAGCGUGUUUGGACGAGGGUUCGACUCCCUCCAACUCCACCA